GUGGGGAAUAUUGGACAAUGGGCGCAAGCCUGAUCCAGCCAUGCCGCGUGAGUGAUGAAGGCCUUAGGGUUGUAAAGCUCUUUCAGUGGGGACGAUAAUGACGGUACCCACAGAAGAAGCCCCGGCUAACUUCGUGCCAGCAGCCGCGGUAAUAAGAAGGGGGCUAGCGUUGUUCGGAUUUACUGGGCGUAAAGCGCACGUAGGCGGAUCGUUAAGUCGGGGGUGAAAUCCUGGAGCUCAACUCCAGAACUGCCUUCGAUACUGGCGAUCUUGAGUCCGGAAGAGGUGAGUGGAACUCCUAGUGUAGAGGUGGAAUUCGUAGAUAUUAGGAAGAACACCAGUGGCGAAGGCGGCUCACUGGUCCGGUACUGACGCUGAGGUGCGAAAGCGUGGGGAGCAAACAGGAUUAGAAACCCCGGUAGUCC
Molecule: ribosomal RNA, 425 nt
Filed under: uncultured bacterium
Lineage: Bacteria
Description: partial 16S ribosomal RNA
Rfam family: Bacterial small subunit ribosomal RNA
Source: RNAcentral